RNAcentral lists this transfer RNA (91 nucleotides) under Promethearchaeota archaeon. Its description in RNAcentral is "Candidatus Lokiarchaeota archaeon (microbial mat metagenome) tRNA-Met". It matches the Rfam family "tRNA". Rfam says of the family: Transfer RNA (tRNA) molecules are approximately 80 nucleotides in length. Their secondary structure includes four short double-helical elements and three loops (D, anti-codon, and T loops). Further hydrogen bonds mediate the characteristic L-shaped molecular structure. tRNAs have two regions of fundamental functional importance: the anti-codon, which is responsible for specific mRNA codon recognition, and the 3' end, to which the tRNAs corresponding amino acid is attached (by aminoacyl-tRNA synthetases). tRNAs cope with the degeneracy of the genetic code in two manners: having more than one tRNA (with a specific anti-codon) for a particular amino acid; and 'wobble' base-pairing, i.e. permitting non-standard base-pairing at the 3rd anti-codon position. Lineage: Archaea; Promethearchaeati; Promethearchaeota. The record is from RNAcentral.
GCCGGGCUAGCUCAGUUGGUAGAGCGCCAGACUCAUAAAGCCUCCAGCAUGAGAAAUCUGGAGGUCGGGGGAUCAUGCCCCCCGCCCGGCA